AAGGUGGUGGAAAAACUGGAUACCCUUUCGUAUGAUUCUCAGAGGAAACUGACAAACACACGCGGGGGUGUCCAGUAAUUUCAGCACAGA
This 90-nucleotide microRNA precursor is filed under the name Plutella xylostella (diamondback moth). RNAcentral describes it as "microRNA pxy-mir-8492 precursor". Lineage: Eukaryota; Metazoa; Arthropoda; Insecta; Lepidoptera; Plutellidae. The record is from miRBase by way of RNAcentral.